GCUCUUGUAGACCAACUGGAAGAGGCUGCCGUCUCAAAAACGGUAUGUUGUGGGUACCCUGCGGGAAGCCGCUCCGCGUCUACGAUUCCCACCAAGAGUACCA
This 103-nucleotide transfer RNA is filed under the name Nostoc sp. UIC 10630. RNAcentral describes it as "tRNA-Leu". The record is from RNAcentral. Lineage: Bacteria; Bacillati; Cyanobacteriota; Cyanophyceae; Nostocales; Nostocaceae.